GAGUUUGAUCCUGGCUCAGGAUGAACGCUGACAGAAUGCUUAACACAUGCAAGUCGACUGGAAUUCUUCUUCGGAAGAUAGUACGGUGGCGGACGGGUGAGUAACGCGUAAAGAAUUUGCCCUUCAGACUGGGACAACUAACCGAAAGGUUAGCUAAUACCGGAUAUUAUGAGACCUUGGCAUCAAGGACUUAUGAAAGCUAUAUGCGCUGGAGGAGAACUUUGCGUCCCAUUAGGUAGUUGGUAGGGUAAUGGCCUACCAAGCCGACGAUGGGUAGCCGGCCUGAGAGGGUGAACGGCCACAAGGGGACUGAGACACGGCCCUUACUCCUACGGGAGGCAGCAGUGGGGAAUAUUGGACAAUGGACCAAAAGUCUGAUCCAGCAAUUCUGUGUGCACGAUGAAGGUCUUCGGAUUGUAAAGUGCUUUCAGGUGGGAAGAAGAAAGUGACGGUACCACCAGAAGAAGCGACGGCUAAAUACGUGCCAGCAGCCGCGGUAAUACGUAUGUCGCAAGCGUUAUCCGGAAUUAUUGGGCGUAAAGCGAGUCUAGGCGGCUUGUUAAGUCAGAUGUGAAAAUGCGGGGCUCAACUCCGUAUUGCGUUUGAAACUGGCAGGCUAGAGUACUGGAGAGGUGGGCGGAACUACAAGUGUAGAGGUGAAAUUCGUAGAUAUUUGUAGGAAUGCCGAUAGUGAAGACAGCUCACUGGACAGAUACUGACGCUAAAGCUCGAAAGCGUGGGGAGCGAACAGGAUUAGAUACCCUGGUAGUCCACGCCGUAAACGAUGUUCACUGGGUGUAGGGGGUCGAACCUCUGUGCCGAAGCUAACGCGAUAAGUGAACCGCCUGGGGAGUACGCACGCAAGUGUGAAACUCAAAGGAAUGACGG
Molecule: ribosomal RNA, 888 nt
Filed under: uncultured bacterium
Lineage: Bacteria
Description: bacterial SSU rRNA
Rfam family: Bacterial small subunit ribosomal RNA
Source: RNAcentral